CCUACGGGAGGCAGCAGUGGGGAAUAUUGCACAAUGGACGCAACUCUGAUGCAGCGACGCCGCGUGAGUGAAGAAGUAUCUCGGUACGUAAAGCUCUAUCAGCAGGGAAGAACAUGACGGUGCCUGACUAAGAAGCCCCGGAUAACUACGAGCCAGAAGCCGCGGUAAGACGUAGGGGGCACGCGUUAUCCGGAUUUACGGGGGGUAAGGGGAGCGUAGACGGCUGGACAAGUCUGGAGUGAAAUCCCGGGGCUUAACCCCGGAAGUGCAUUGGAAACUGGGCGGCUGGAGUGCAGGAGGGGUGAGCGGAAUUCCUAGUGUAGCGGUGAAAUGCGUAGAUAUUAGGAGGAACACCGGUGGCGAAGGCGACUUACUGGACUGUAACUGACGUUGAGGCUCGAAAGCGUGGGGAGCAAACAGGAUUAGAUACCCUGGUAGUC
This 440-nucleotide ribosomal RNA is filed under the name uncultured bacterium. RNAcentral's name for it is "partial 16S ribosomal RNA". It matches the Rfam family "Bacterial small subunit ribosomal RNA", at positions 338 to 795 of the family's 1533-position model. The record is from RNAcentral.